GACUAAGCGUACACGGUGGAUGCCCUGGCAGUCAGAGGCGAUGAAGGACGUGCUAAUCUGCGAAAAGCGUCGGUAAGGUGAUAUGAACCGUUAUAACCGGCGAUGUCCGAAUGGGGAAACCCAGUGUGAUUCGUCACACUAUCGUUAACUGAAUACAUAGGUUAACGAGGCGAACCGGGGGAACUGAAACAUCUAAGUACCCCGAGGAAAAGAAAUCAACCGAGAUUCCCCCAGUAGCGGCGAGCGAACGGGGAGCAGCCCAG
This 263-nucleotide ribosomal RNA is filed under the name Klebsiella pneumoniae. RNAcentral's name for it is "partial 23S ribosomal RNA". It matches the Rfam family "Bacterial large subunit ribosomal RNA", at positions 1 to 272 of the family's 2925-position model. RNAcentral also lists the same sequence under 3 other names. The record is from RNAcentral. Lineage: Bacteria; Pseudomonadati; Pseudomonadota; Gammaproteobacteria; Enterobacterales; Enterobacteriaceae.